UGUAUCGGAAGCCUGACGAGGAUGAGAACCUCCGGGGGCAAGAGGUUCGACUCGAGCGCAGCGAGAGAACGUUGCGUCAGCAACGGCCCGCAGGGCGAGCCACGCAGUGGCGAGUCAUCCUCUAUCACCGGCAG
RNAcentral lists this small RNA (134 nucleotides) under Salmonella enterica subsp. enterica serovar Infantis. RNAcentral's name for it is "RtT sRNA". It matches the Rfam family "RtT RNA". From Rfam's summary of the family: This family represents a bacterial cis-regulatory element known as RtT RNA. The exact function of RtT is unknown although it is thought that it may be involved in changing the cellular response in relation to amino acid starvation. RNAcentral also lists the same sequence under 28 other names. The record is from RNAcentral. Lineage: Bacteria; Pseudomonadati; Pseudomonadota; Gammaproteobacteria; Enterobacterales; Enterobacteriaceae.